RNAcentral lists this ribosomal RNA (1207 nucleotides) under human gut metagenome. Its description in RNAcentral is "bacterial LSU rRNA". It matches the Rfam family "Bacterial large subunit ribosomal RNA", at positions 1331 to 2524 of the family's 2925-position model. The record is from RNAcentral.
CGUUCGCCGGAAGACCAAGGGUUCCUGUCCAACGUUAAUCGGGGCAGGGUGAGUCGGCCCCUAAGGCGAGGCUGAAAAGCGUAGUCGAUGGGAAACGGGUUAAUAUUCCCGUACUUGGAUAAAUUGCGAUGUGGGGACGGAGAAGGUUAGGUUAGCAGACUGUUGGAUGUCUGUUUAAGGUGGUAGGUGGAGUGCUUAGGCAAAUCCGGGCACUCUUAACACCGAGAACUGAUGACGAGGUGCUACGGCACUGAAGUAACUGAUACCACGCUUCCAGGAAAAGCCACUAAGCUUCAGAUUUAUCUAAACCGUACUAUAAACCGACACAGGUGGUCAGGUAGAGAAUACUCAGGCGCUUGAGAGAACUCGGGUGAAGGAACUAGGCAAAAUAGCACCGUAACUUCGGGAGAAGGUGCGCCGGCGUAGAUUGUAAGGGCUAGCCCCUGAAGGUUGAACCGGUCGAAGAUACCAGCUGGCUGCAACUGUUUAUUAAAAACACAGCACUCUGCAAACACGAAAGUGGACGUAUAGGGUGUGAUGCCUGCCCGGUGCUGGAAGGUUAAUUGAUGGUGUAAUCGAAAGAGAAGCUCCUGAUCGAAGCCCCAGUAAACGGCGGCCGUAACUAUAACGGUCCUAAGGUAGCGAAAUUCCUUGUCGGGUAAGUUCCGACCUGCACGAAUGGCAUAAUGAUGGCCAGGCUGUCUCCACCCGAGACUCAGUGAAAUUGAAAUCGCCGUGAAGAUGCGGUGUACCCGCGGCUAGACGGAAAGACCCCGUGAACCUUUACUAUAGCUUGACACUGAACAUUGAAUUUUGAUGUGUAGGAUAGGUGGGAGCCUUUGAAGCAGUCACGCCAGUGAUUGUGGAGGCGUCCUUGAAAUACCACCCUUUAACGUUUGAUGUUCUAACGAAGAUUACGAAACGUGGUCUCGGACAGUGUCUGGUGGGUAGUUUGACUGGGGCGGUCUCCUCCCAAAGAGUAACGGAGGAGCACGAAGGUUUGCUAAUCACGGUCGGACAUCGUGAGGUUAGUGCAAUGGUAUAAGCAAGCUUAACUGCGAGACAGACAAGUCGAGCAGGUACGAAAGUAGGUCAUAGUGAUCCGGUGGUUCUGAAUGGAAGGGCCAUCGCUCAACGGAUAAAAGGUACUCCGGGGAUAACAGGCUGAUACCGCCCAAGAGUUCAUAUCGACGGCGGUGUUUGGCAC